Molecule: ribosomal RNA, 491 nt
Filed under: uncultured bacterium
Lineage: Bacteria
Description: partial 16S ribosomal RNA
Rfam family: Bacterial small subunit ribosomal RNA
Source: RNAcentral
AGUGAACGCUGGCGGUAGGCCUAACACAUGCAAGUCGAACGGCAGCACAGUAAGAGCUUGCUCUUACGGGUGGCGAGUGGCGGACGGGUGAGGAAUACAUCGGAAUCUACUUUUUCGUGGGGGAUAACGUAGGGAAACUUACGCUAAUACCGCAUACGACCUACGGGUGAAAGCAGGGGAUCUUCGGACCUUGCGCGAUUGAAUGAGCCGAUGUCGGAUUAGCUAGUUGGCGGGGUAAAGGCCCACCAAGGCGACGAUCCGUAGCUGGUCUGAGAGGAUGAUCGGCCACACGGGAACUGGGACACGUUCCAAGCCCCUACGGGGGGCCGAGGUGGGGAAUUUUGGACAAUGGGCGCAAGCCUGCUCCAGCCAUCCCGGGGGGGUGAAGAAGGCCUGCGGGUUGUAAAGCCCUUUUGUUGGGAAAAAAAAGCAGCAGGUUAAUACCCCGCUGUUCUGACGGUACCCAAAGAAUAAGCACCGGCUAACUUCGU